Molecule: transfer RNA, 68 nt
Filed under: Desulfobulbaceae bacterium C00003063
Lineage: Bacteria; Pseudomonadati; Thermodesulfobacteriota; Desulfobulbia; Desulfobulbales; Desulfobulbaceae
Description: tRNA-OTHER
Rfam family: tRNA
About the family: Transfer RNA (tRNA) molecules are approximately 80 nucleotides in length. Their secondary structure includes four short double-helical elements and three loops (D, anti-codon, and T loops).
Source: RNAcentral
GCGGUAGUUCAGUUGGUUAGAAUGCCGGCCUGUCCACGCCGGAGGUCGCGGGUUCGAGUCCCGUCCGC